CCUACGGGUGGCUGCAGUGGGGAAUAUUGGACAAUGGGCGAAAGCCUGAUCCAGCCAUGCCGCGUGUGUGAAGAAGGCCUUCGGGUUGUAAAGCACUUUCAGUGGGGAAGAAAGCCUUGGGGCUAAUACCUUCGAGGAAGGACAUCACCCACAGAAGAAGCACCGGCUAACUCCGUGCCAGCAGCCGCGGUAAUACGGAGGGUGCGAGCGUUAAUCGGAAUUACUGGGCGUAAAGCGCGCGUAGGCGGUCUGAUAAGCCGGUUGUGAAAGCCCCGGGCUCAACCUGGGAACGGCAUCCGGAACUGUCAGGCUAGAGUGCAGGAGAGGAAGGUAGAAUUCCCGGUGUAGCGGUGAAAUGCGUAGAGAUCGGGAGGAAUACCAGUGGCGAAGGCGGCCUUCUGGACUGACACUGACGCUGAGGUGCGAAAGCGUGGGUAGCAAACAGGAUUAGAUACCCCUGUAGUC
RNAcentral lists this ribosomal RNA (465 nucleotides) under Vreelandella stevensii. RNAcentral describes it as "partial 16S ribosomal RNA". It matches the Rfam family "Bacterial small subunit ribosomal RNA", at positions 338 to 795 of the family's 1533-position model. The record is from RNAcentral. Lineage: Bacteria; Pseudomonadati; Pseudomonadota; Gammaproteobacteria; Oceanospirillales; Halomonadaceae.